GUCCAUGCCGUAAACGUUGGGCACUAGGUGUGGGGAACAUUCCACGUUUUCCGCGCCGUAGCUAACGCAUUAAGUGCCCCGCCUGGGGGAGUACGGCCGCAAGGCUAAAAACUCAAAGGAAUUGACGGGGGCCCGCACAAGCGGCGGAGCAUGCGGAUUAAUUCGAUGCAACGCGAAGAACCUUACCAAGGCUUGACAUGUUCCAGACCGCCUCAGAGAUGGGGGUUUCCCUUCGGGGCUGGUUCACAGGUGGUGCAUGGUUGUCGU
This 267-nucleotide ribosomal RNA is filed under the name uncultured bacterium. RNAcentral's name for it is "partial 16S ribosomal RNA". It matches the Rfam family "Bacterial small subunit ribosomal RNA", at positions 793 to 1055 of the family's 1533-position model. The record is from RNAcentral.